Molecule: small RNA, 125 nt
Filed under: Marmota monax (woodchuck)
Lineage: Eukaryota; Metazoa; Chordata; Mammalia; Rodentia; Sciuridae
Source: RNAcentral
GCUGGGUGCAGUGGCACAUGCCUGUAAUCCCAGCAACUUGGGAGGCUGAGGUGGGAGGAUCGUGAGUUCAAAGCCAGCCUCAGCAAAAGCGAGUUGCUAAGCAACUUAGUGAGACCCUGUUUCUC